Molecule: long non-coding RNA, 1074 nt
Filed under: Canis lupus familiaris (dog)
Lineage: Eukaryota; Metazoa; Chordata; Mammalia; Carnivora; Canidae
Description: lncRNA (ENSCAFG00040021381.1)
Source: RNAcentral
CCGGCAGGGUCGGGGCGCGGGGGGCAGCAUCCCCUGCAGGGUCGGGGCGCGGAGGGCAGCAUCCCCGGCAGGGUCGGGGCGCGGGGGGCAGCAUCCCCGGCAGGGUCGGGGCGCGGGGGCAGCAUCCCCGGCAGGGUCGGGGCGCGGAGGGCAGCAUCCCCGGCAGGGUCGGGGCGCGGAGGGCAGCAUCCCCGGCAGGGUUGGGGCGCGGGGGGCAGCACCGCCGGCAGGGUCGGGGCGCGGGGGGCAGCAUCCCCUGCAGGGUCGGGGCGCGGGGGGCAGCAUCCCCGGUGGGGUCAGGGCGCAGGGGGCAGCAUCCCCGGCAGGGUCGAGGCACGGAGAGCAGCAUCCCCUGCAGGGUCGGGGCGCCGGGGGCAGCAUCCCCGGCAGGGUCGGGGCACGGGGACAGCACCACCGGCAGGGUCGGGGCGCGGGGGGACAGCACCACCGGCAGGGUCGGGGCGCGGGGGGCAGCAUCCCCGGCAGGGUCGGGGCGCCGGGGGCAGCAUCUCCGGCGGGGUCAGGGGCGGCAGGGGGGGGGGGGGGGGGGCGGGCGCAGGGGGCAGCAUCCCCGGCAGGGUCGGGGCGCGGAGGGCAGCAUCCCCGGCGGGGUCGGGCGCGGAGGGCAGCAUCCCCGGCGGGGUCGGGGCACGGAGAGCAGCAUCCCCGGCAGGGUCGGGGCUCGGAGAGCAGCAUCCCCUGCAUGGUCGGGGUGCGGGGUCAGCCUCGCAGGCAGGGUCGGGUGCGGGGUCAGCCUCGCAGUCAGGCCGGGUCCCGUCGCGGGCAGGCGCAGCCCAGGGCAAGCGGGUCUCUGCCAACUUGCCAACGAGGCUGAGAGGCAGCAGGCUGUCCGCUGAUGGCAGCAGCGAGGCCUUGAACCUGGUGCUCGGGACCCCUGGGGACCCCUCGGGCUCCCAUACCAAACUCAUCAGGACGUUGCAUCCGAGGAUGACUGAAUCUUGCCACCUGUUGGAAGUCAGACCCACCGAUCCCCACUUCGUCACUAACACCAGCGACAGGCCCACACUGGCUUUUCCUGCCUUCUUGAAUAUUGCUUGGGUUUUGCUCUUUUAA